AGCAGCCGCGGUAAUUCCAGCUCCAAUAGCGUAUAUUAAAGUUGUUGCAGUUAAAAAGCUCGUAGUUGAAUUUCGGGGUCAGCAGGUUGGUCGUGCCAACGGUAUGUACUGGCUUUGCUGAUUCCUCCUUCUUGUAGAACUGUAAUGCCAUUAAUUUGGUGUUGCAGGGAAACAGGACUGUUACUUUGAAAAAAUUAGAGUGUUUAAAGCAGGCUUACGCUUGAAUACAUUAGCAUGGAAUAAUGAAAUAGGACGUUGAUCCUAUUUUGUUGGUUUCUAGGAUUGACGUAAUGAUUAAUAGGGAUAGUUGGGGGCAUUAGUAUUCAAUUGUCAGAGGUGAAAUUCUUGGAUUUAUUGAAGACUAACUACUGCGAAAGCAUUUGCCAAGGAUGUUUUCAUUAAUCAAGAACGAAAGUUAGGGGAUCGAAGACGAUCAGAUACCGUCGUAGUCUUAACCAUAAACUAUGCCGACUAGGGAUCGGAUGAUGUUAAUUUUUAAUGACUCAUUCGGCGCCUUAAC
Molecule: ribosomal RNA, 520 nt
Filed under: uncultured Glomus
Lineage: Eukaryota; Fungi; Glomeromycota; Glomeromycetes; Glomerales; Glomeraceae
Description: SSU rRNA
Rfam family: Eukaryotic small subunit ribosomal RNA
Source: RNAcentral